UUGAUGUUUGGAUACUUGCAGUAGGACCACCCUUUCCCAUCCCGAACAAGGAAGUGAAACGAGUCAGCGUCGAUGAUACUUCUCGCUAUUCGCGAGGGGAAAAGUAGAUCAUAGCCAGGGCA
Molecule: ribosomal RNA, 122 nt
Filed under: Candidatus Roizmanbacteria bacterium GW2011_GWA2_35_19
Lineage: Bacteria; Candidatus Roizmaniibacteriota
Source: RNAcentral